This 398-nucleotide ribosomal RNA is filed under the name Euwallacea piceus. RNAcentral's name for it is "eukaryotic LSU rRNA". It matches the Rfam family "Eukaryotic large subunit ribosomal RNA", at positions 546 to 887 of the family's 3401-position model. Lineage: Eukaryota; Metazoa; Arthropoda; Insecta; Coleoptera; Curculionidae. The record is from RNAcentral.
CCGACGAUGUUCUCGGACAGACCUCGUCCCUCUUUUUUUUCGAAGAGAGAGGGAAUAAAAAGAGACCGAUCGGCGACGCUAUAGCUUUGGGUAAUUUCAGGACCCGUCUUGAAACACGGACCAAGGAGUCUAGCAUGUACGCGAGUCAUUGGGAAUAUCGCUAAACCUAAAGGCGUAAUGAAAGUGAAGGUCUUCCUCGCGAAGACCGAGGGAAGACGGACGGUUAUUUAUCUCAGAAAUCGAGUAAAAUCGAGACCGUCCCGCAUUCCCGGGGCGUCUCGUUCACAUCGCGUGAAGAGGCGCACCAAGAGCGUACACGCUGGGACCCGAAAGAUGGUGAACUAUGCCUGGUCAGGACGAAGUCAGGGGAAACCCUGAUGGAGGUCCGUAGCGAUUCU